RNAcentral lists this ribosomal RNA (478 nucleotides) under uncultured bacterium. Its description in RNAcentral is "partial 16S ribosomal RNA". It matches the Rfam family "Bacterial small subunit ribosomal RNA", at positions 28 to 507 of the family's 1533-position model. The record is from RNAcentral.
GAUGAACGCUGGCGGCGUGCUUAACACAUGCAAGUCGAACGGGAAACCUUUUAAUGAAGCUUCGGCAGAUUUAGCUGGUUUCUAGUGGCGGACGGGUGAGUAACGCGUGGGUAACCUGCCUUAUACAGGGGGAUAACAGUCAGAAAUGACUGCUAAUACCGCAUAAGCGCACAGGACCGCAUGGUCCGGUGUGAAAAACUCCGGUGGUAUAAGAUGGACCCGCGUUGGAUUAGCUUGUUGGUGGGGUAACGGCUCACCAAGGCGACGAUCCAUAGCCGGCCUGAGAGGGGGAACGGCCACAUUGGGACUGAGACACGGCCCAGACUCCUACGGGAGGCAGCAGUGGGGAAUAUUGCACAAUGGGGGAAACCCUGAUGCAGCGACGCCGCGCGAAGGAAGAAGUAUCUCGGUAAGUAAACUUCUAUCAGCAGGGAAGAUAGUGACGGUACCUGACUAAGAAGCCCCGGCUAACUACGUG